GCUUUUAGCGUGGGCGCGGGGCCAGCAGAGGCGGCGGGCGAAUGCAGGCAGGCAGCAGGCUGCACGGAGCUGUGGCGCUUCUCCGCUUGGCGGAAAGGUGCGCCGGUGCGGGGUUCGCGGGGUCUGGCGGAUUGGAGGAUUCACAGAGUAACCAAUU
Molecule: long non-coding RNA, 157 nt
Organism: Neopelma chrysocephalum (saffron-crested tyrant-manakin)
Lineage: Eukaryota; Metazoa; Chordata; Aves; Passeriformes; Pipridae
Exons: 3
Source: RefSeq, a predicted model, not a curated record